This 450-nucleotide ribosomal RNA is filed under the name uncultured bacterium. RNAcentral describes it as "bacterial SSU rRNA". It matches the Rfam family "Bacterial small subunit ribosomal RNA", at positions 354 to 796 of the family's 1533-position model. The record is from RNAcentral.
GUGGGGAAUUUUGGACAAUGGGGGCAACCCUGAUCCAGCCAUUCCGCGUGAGUGAAGAAGGCCUUCGGGUUGUAAAGCUCUUUCGGCAGGAACGAAACGGUGAGCUCUAACAUAGCUCGCUAAUGACGGUACCUGAAGAAGAAGCACCGGCUAACUACGUGCCAGCAGCCGCGGUAAUACGUAGGGUGCGAGCGUUAAUCGGAAUUACUGGGCGUAAAGCGUGCGCAGGCGGUUGUGUAAGACAGGUGUGAAAUCCCCGGGCUUAACCGGGGAACUGCGCUAGUGACUGCACGGCUAGAGUAUGGCAGAGGGGGGUGGAAUUCCACGUGUAGCAGUGAAAUGCGUAGAGAUGUGGAGGAACACCGAUGGCGAAGGCAGCCCCCUGGGCCAAUACUGACGCUCAUGCACGAAAGCGUGGGGAGCAAACAGGAUUAGAAACCCCUGUAGUCC